This 485-nucleotide ribosomal RNA is filed under the name uncultured bacterium. RNAcentral's name for it is "bacterial SSU rRNA". It matches the Rfam family "Bacterial small subunit ribosomal RNA", at positions 33 to 507 of the family's 1533-position model. The record is from RNAcentral.
GACGACGCUGGCGGCGUGGAUUAGGCAUGCAAGUCGAACGGUAUCAUCCUUCGGGGGUGAGAGAGUGGCGAACUGGUGAGUAACACGUAGGUUAUCUACCCUCAAGACGGGGACAACCCGGGGAAACUUGGGCUAAUACCGGAUGUGAGCAACUUUUAGUUGUUUGAAAGGUGGCGUAAGCUGUCGCUUGGGGAUGAGCCUGCGUCCUAUUAGUUAGUUGGUGAGGUAACGGCUCACCUAGGCAAUGAUAGGUAGGCGGCCUUAACGGGUGGUCGCCCACACUGGGAUUGAGAUACGGCCCAGACUCCUACGGGAGGCAGCAGUCGAGAAUAGUCUACAAUGGUCGGAAGACUGAUAGUGCGACGCCGCGUGAACGAUGAAUCCCUUCGGGGUGUAAAGUUCUUUUAUAUGUGAGCAGUGCUUCUUAUAUUAACAGUAUGGGGAGAGAGAUAUUAGCAUAUGAAUAAGCAACGGCUAACUCCGUG